Molecule: long non-coding RNA, 3800 nt
Organism: Egretta garzetta (little egret)
Lineage: Eukaryota; Metazoa; Chordata; Aves; Pelecaniformes; Ardeidae
Exons: 5
Source: RefSeq, a predicted model, not a curated record
CGGGGGGAGCGAGGAGGAAAAACCCUGACAGAAAAGAACCCCUUUGGGGCCGGGGGCACCCCAAGUCCUGCUUCGCUGAGCGCUGCGGUUGCUUUGCAAUUCACAGCUGAAAUACAGAUGACUUCAAGACAGAGAGACUCACACACACAGAGGACUAUUCCCAAACCGAAAGCAUCCCUCCAUUUAACACAGCCCAGGAGAGGAGAAGGUAUCUGGUGUUCGCUGAGUCCGUUGACGGGAAAAUGAAAUCCAUGAUGGCCUCCCACAUCUUCGUGAUGGAUAACAGUUACUUCAAAGAAGCCAAGCCUAGCGUAGACAAAGAGCAAAAGAAAGAGGCUAGAGUCUUCAGGCUGCUCAGAACUGCAGAAGCCCGCAAUCACUUCAAAACCUGAGAUUCUGCUAUCAGGAGCUGGGGUAAAUGUUAAUUUCCGUGAAAGGACCUGGAACUCCAGCGUGCAGAGCCAGGACUGGCAGGAGGAGGGAGAGCUCGGUUGUAAACUACUCAUCAGCUCUAACAUCAGGGAAUCACCGCGAGGGCAAAGAGGAGAGGUCAGCUUUUACGCCUGGAACACUCUGCGAAAAUCACCUCAUAGAAGUGGAUAGCCUGUGUAUACAAGAUAUCUGGGGACCAAACCAACAUUACUCCAGUCUGGUCCCUCUGGAAAGAUCCCAGAGAAGGCUGGGAAGAAUCCAGCAAAGUAGAGAACAGAAGAAACACAGAAAACCACACAAUGCUGAAUCCCUCCUGGUCAAGGAUCAGGCAGCUCCCUGCUUCCAUGCGCAGGUCACCGAGAGAAAAGCUCACGGCUGCAUCCUGAGGCUCAGACGGCAGCGUAGUGACCCAGGCACUGCUCUGCUCUUCUAGGGGACUCGCGCCAGCCGCAGUAGCUUCUGUGUGACAGACCCAACAGAUCGCCUCUCAAGUCAGGGAAUGAAGACAACCGUAAAACAAGACUGCAAUAAAAGCAUUGCAAAUAGAAAAAUAAAGGGCAAAAUGUGAAAAGCAGAAAACGGAGGAGAAAGGAGAGACCAGAGAGAGCCAAGAAGCAUGAAGAAGUGAUGGGAUACUGCCCUGGGAUGCAAAGGCAGCCCAUCCGCUGAUCCACGACAGAGGGCAGUUUGAGUGAAUUUAGACAGCUCAUGUCACAGAGCAGGCAAGCCUGUCUCCAUCCUCAGUGCCUGCUUUUAGAUACCAGACUGGCACAUACAGCACAGCCUUUUUGGCUGCUCACGCCACUACCGUGCUUCCAUUCGAUAUAACGAUCUGACUUCAUGUCAGGUCUGCUACCUGAAUUAACCUUUUCAUGUUGCCUCUGAACACCAGUUGACACAGCAGUCUAAUUCUGCUCACCCCAAGAAUAACGAGGAGCCAAAUCAUUACCCCCUGGUUUAGGCCUUUUCAGAUUCUCUGGCCUUGGGCCCAACCUGAUUUACAACUCCAGAUGAUGGAAGAAAGUCUCAAGGCCUUCAAUGAGAGGCGAAGGAAAUAAAUCAUCUGAUAUCCUGCCAGCAAACUGCCAUAGGCGCUUUGAGACUGGAGGCGUUUCUCCUGGCCCAAAAGAGCAUUAAAAAAAAAAACCUAGCUGAUAACUUGGACAGGGUUCAGAAAGAAGAGGGGAAAGUGAGAAAACAGCUAUAUUCAGCUAUAUUCCUACUUCUUGUCUUUAUUCUCCUGGACUGAGGCGAAUCUACCACCGACAGACAGAGCUUGGGAACUAGUGUCUGAGCCAAUGUUUCCUCAGCGCCCAGCACCCUGCUCUCCUUUACUCCAUCACCUCACACCACUUGUGUAACUGUGUUACAGAGGAGUCACAUAAAGGCAAAGUGAGAAGAUGAAAGAGGUGAAACAUUUAUUAGAAGACCCUGAAACUUUGAGGAAUUUUUUAGAAUAAUUCAAGAUACCUGAGGGAUUGGGACGGAGGACCAGGAAUAGACAGAUGCUUCAGCCACCGAGUUAAAUAGUUUCCCAACCUGUGCAACAGCUUCAGCUACGGUAGAUGGGCCUUCAGUGCUUGUGGUGUGGAAGAGCCAGAGGAACAAGCAGGUCGGCCCCAUGAGUUAGCAUGAAACCUUGCUAAUGUAAAUCCUGCAACUUGGUUAUGUUUGUUCUGGAAUUGCAUGCACAUAAAUCAGGUCAUAAUCAAAGCUUUACCCAUUUCGGUAUCACCUGAUCAAUUAGAAAUAGGGAUUGUAUGGUGUUAAGCCAAAAACUGCAUACAAAAAUUGUUGUUCUGCAUACAGAAGUUGUUCUCAGCUUAGCAUACAAGUGAGAAACCUCAAAGUCAUGAGCAGUUUUUCCAGGACAAUGAGUCCUGGACCUUGCUACGUUAAAACAGAAAUACCAGAAUGAUACUUGUUCACACAGUCAUAACCAUCAUUCUCUUUGUCUGCUGUCUUGUAGCCAGCAGGUCGUGCACAUUUGUGUUUAGAUGCGUCCACAGAGGAAUCCAACCUGCAAAUAAAGAACUGCAACAGAAGUUGCGGUUUUGUUAUUACUGCUCAAGACUGAGAUUGUGUGAGAAAAACACUUUCCAGUUCAGAUGGAGGAAAUGGAAAGCACAAAGAUUCAUUACUUUGCUAUUCAACAGAGCAGAUUUCUAAUGAACGGCAUCUACCAAACAAUUUAGAGAUGAGGAAGUGGUGGAGAGAUGCUUUUUAUGUGAGUAAAAAUCAGAGAAUAUAGUUCUCGGGCUAGAUUACGCAACCAAGAAUAUCUUUACCUUCCCCUCUUGUGCAAAGGAUUUUCUUUUCAUUAUAGACACUUGACCUUGACUUCUCAAACCUUCCCCUCAAAUAUGCUCUUCCCACCUCUCUUCAUCUACAUCACCUUCCCCCUGCAGCCAGAGACUUGCAGACUCCUCCAAAGAGCAGACUUUCCACUCGUUCUCCAGCAUACCAGCAGGAGCUGUUCCACCCACUUGGACUUCUGUAGAGAGACCAGGCCACACUGUGCUCGCUUUUACAGGGGGAAGGUCUCCAAAGUGUCUUUCAACUCCUCCUACAUUUUAAAAAGUCAGAGAUGCUUUUGAACUAUGGCAGCGGAUGUAGGUUGGAACAGACUGGAUUUGGUCCCCCUUUUUCCACUGUCCCAUCUCGUGGUCAAGGAAAGGGCCCAGCUGUCCAGAUCUCCCCUGCCUGCCUUGACUUCGGCCAAGAGAGUAAAUGGAAGAGUCCAGCCAGCUCAGUUUUGUCCUUAUUGUCACCACUUUCAACUUCUUUCUGGCAUACUUGUACCAACUGUUCAGCCAUCUCUCAAACGGUGAUGAGAGUUUGAGAGAAAGUCUGUAGAUCACCGAGAGGCUCAGAUGAAAACGGCGGCGUGUUAAUAUGGGUUAGUGCACCCAAGGGCCCUGGCAGCUUGUACCACUGGCAGCAGAGUCGAUGAUUUGCAGUGAUUCCUUCAGAGAAGGACAUCCCUACGAUACCCAAGGCAGGCUUUGGGGCUGCGGCGCCUGUACGGCUCUUAGUCCCAUCCUCCAAUGCCAGCACUAGCCCUUUUGGCUAAGAUUUCCUUCUCCCGGCCUGCACCCCCCAGCUUGGCACUAAAAAGCAAACAAACAGCUCUGUGAGCCGCAGAAUUUGCAGAGUCUGGCUUUAACAGGCUGGCGUCUCUUGGGGGACUGACCUGGGUGCCUGAGAGGGCACAGACUCUGACUGAAGCUUUUCCCACGGUUUGGGCAUCAAUCAACUGUCAGAGCCGUGCGGAUUCUCUAGUGUCUAAUACAGUCUGACAGCGUGUGUUGGUCUCUCUCACAGUUGCAGCCCUGGCGGGGUCAUUCUUUACCCAGCUGUUUGUAAAU